This 253-nucleotide ribosomal RNA is filed under the name uncultured bacterium. RNAcentral describes it as "partial 16S ribosomal RNA". It matches the Rfam family "Bacterial small subunit ribosomal RNA", at positions 524 to 776 of the family's 1533-position model. The record is from RNAcentral.
UACGGAGGAUGCAAGCGUUAUCCGGAAUUAUUGGGCGUAAAGCGUCCGCAGGUGGUUUUACAAGUCUGCCGUCAAAGCGCGGAGCUUAACUUCGUAUCGGCAGUGGAAACUGUGGAACUAGAGUUUGGUAGGGGUCACGGGAAUUCCCAGUGUAGCGGUGAAAUGCGUAGAUAUUGGGAAGAACACCAGCGGCGAAAGCGCGUGACUGGGCCUGAACUGACACUCAUGGACGAAAGCUAGGGGAGCGAAAGGG